Molecule: unclassified non-coding RNA, 265 nt
Filed under: Glomeraceae sp.
Lineage: Eukaryota; Fungi; Glomeromycota; Glomeromycetes; Glomerales; Glomeraceae
Description: partial contains 5.8S ribosomal RNA and internal transcribed spacer 2
Rfam family: 5.8S ribosomal RNA (bases 1-71)
Source: RNAcentral
GUGAAUCAUCGAAUUUUUGAACGCAAAUUGCACUUUCUGGUAUUCCGGAAAGUAUGCCUGUUUGAGGGUCAGUUAAAUAAAAAUCGGAGUUGUUGUUGCCUUUCGUGGUGACGCGUCGGAAUUGAGUUGUCUUACCUUCGGUUAUGUGUCUUAAAAUUUUGCAUGAUUUUCGAUCGUAUUUAAAUUGCUUAUGUACGUUUGAGAUAUCGAAUACUUUAUUAGGUUGGUUCAUGUUCAUGUUUUGCGCCUAUAUUUUUUUCAUUAA